RNAcentral lists this ribosomal RNA (800 nucleotides) under uncultured bacterium. RNAcentral's name for it is "bacterial SSU rRNA". It matches the Rfam family "Bacterial small subunit ribosomal RNA", at positions 26 to 821 of the family's 1533-position model. The record is from RNAcentral.
AGAUUGAACGCUGGCGGCAUGCCUUACACAUGCAAGUCGAACGGCAGCGGGCCCUUCGGGGUGCCGGCGAGUGGCGAACGGGUGAGUAACACAUCGGAACGUACCGGCUAGUGGGGGAUAACCCGUCGAAAGACGGGCUAAUACCGCAUAAGCUCUUCGGAGGAAAGCAGGGGACCUUUUGGCCUUGCGCUAGCCGAGCGGCCGAUGUCCGAUUAGCUAGUUGGUGGGGUAAAGGCCUACCAAGGCGACGAUCGGUAGCGGGUCUGAGAGGACGGCCCGCCACACUGGGACUGAGACACGGCCCAGACUCCUACGGGAGGCAGCAGUGGGGAAUCUUGGACAAUGGGGGCAACCCUGAUCCAGCAAUGCCGCGUGGGUGAAGAAGGCCUUCGGGUUGUAAAGCCCUUUCGGCAGGGAAGAAAUCGGCGGGGCGAAUAACCCUGCUGGAUGACGGUACCUGCAGAAGAAGCACCGGCUAACUACGUGCCAGCAGCCGCGGUAAUACGUAGGGUGCGAGCGUUAAUCGGAUUUACUGGGCGUAAAGCGUGCGCAGGCGGCCCGUUAAGACAGGUGUGAAAUCCCUGGGCUCAACCUAGGAAUUGCGCUUGUGACUGGCGGGCUAGAGUACGGUAGAGGGGGGUGGAAUUCCUGGUGUAGCAGUGAAAUGCGUAGAGAUCAGGAGGAACACCGAUGGCGAAGGCAGCCCCCUGGGCCUGUACUGACGCUCAUGCACGAAAGCGUGGGGAGCAAACGGGAUUAGAUACCCUGGUAGUCCACGCCCUAAACGAUGGGUACUAGCC